CCCGAAUCUACCCAAGCUGUGGUCACCUGGACUCCAAAUCCCUGAAUGCUCCAAUAACGUGGGUCCUGAACUGGUAUUCUAUUUUAGAGAGGACCCACAGGUCUGGCUUAAAGUUCCCUCAAGCAAUCCCCGCUCACCCAAGGAGUUUUCACACUUAAUCAUUAUAAAGUCUCUGAUUGGUUGACUGAGUCUUGUUCUCACCUCAUUAAGGUGUCAGGCAUCUUCAUCUCUACUUUAAGGUGAUGAGGCGAGGUGACUGACUUAUUUAACCAACUCCACCCUUACAACAUGCUCUGCAUAUGUAAUAUGAACCUCACAAGCAUCCUUUGAGGGAGGUAAUGCAGGUAUUAUUAUCCCCAGUUUACAGAUGAGGAAACUGAGGCUCAAGGAGACCAAAGUGAUUUACUUGCUCGUCAUCAGGCAGAUAGAGUCAGAGUAGUAAUUGUGGAACCCGGGGUUUUUCUGACCCCAAGGCCAGCAUGACAAAUCCACCCCAUCCCACCCCCAGAAAUGGGGCGGUCUUCUACGACUUUGCCAGCUCUCUAUGCCUCACUCCCUCCACUCGGGACCUAGAUUAAGAGGUUGGGCCUCUCUCUUCCUCCCCGCAGCCGAAGGGGGCGUGGCGUGGCUGCGGCAGUUGGAAGGGGCUGGACAGCGGACGCUGCUUCUUCCCCGGACCGCCGCAGGAGGGGGCCUUGGGUGAUCGCAGCGCUGGGCACGGCAGAGCCAGGCAGAGGCGAGCAGAGCCGAGCUGGGCAGACGCAAGCAGGGCAGGCGCGGGCCAGGACGGUGGCAGACGGGAGCGGACCGGACCGGGCUCAGAGCGCAGGGACCAGGGCGCACAGCCAGCAGCAGCAGCAGCAGCAGCAGCAGCAGCAGCAGCAGCAGUCAGAGCCAAGCCUACAGAGGCAGUUCCUAACCGUAGUGCCAGAGGGCACGGAGUAGUUAAGUGACUUGCCCAGGGUCAUGGCUAAUCCACAUCGGAGGGGAAAUUUGAAGCUUGGUCUCCCUGACCGAGGUCAGUUCCCUAUCCACUAUGUCCCUUUGCCUGUCUACCAGGGAUGCUAAAACAUGGCGUAGUAGGAAAGGCACUGGAUUUUGAGUCAGCAAGUUCAGUUGGGGUCUUCUUGGCAAAGAUACUGGAGUGCUUUGCCAUUUCCUUCUCUGGCUCUUCUCUUUUUUUGGCUUUUUGGUGAGGCAGUCAGGGUUAGGUGACUUGCCCAGGGUCAUACUCCAUCUCAUUUAACAGAUGAGGAAACUGAGGCAAUCAGGGUUAAGUGACUUGCCCAAUCACAGAAACUAGUAAGUUUCUGAGGUCACACCUGAACUCAGGUCUUCCUGACUCCAGGCUAAGCAUUCUAUCCACUCACUGCACCACCUCAAUGCCCUGGGAGUCUUAAAUUCCACCUUGGAAGUGGAAUGAGCAGCUCCAGAGCUUUAACCUCUCUCUGCCUCAGUUCCCUUAUGUGUUGAAUGUUGGCUUCUACGAUCUCUUGAAUUGAAAUCUAUGAUUUUCUGAUUCCACGAUAUAAAUAAAUGCAAUAUGAUUUGACCA
Molecule: long non-coding RNA, 1555 nt
Organism: Phascolarctos cinereus (koala)
Lineage: Eukaryota; Metazoa; Chordata; Mammalia; Diprotodontia; Phascolarctidae
Source: Ensembl